AUUUCACUGAUUAGUAUUCAGUCCAGCUCUCCAGUUUCUCAGGAUUGCUAAGGUUGAGGUAUUUGUUGAAGAGCCACCGAGAAGUGUUUAAAGCGUCUCCUCUACUUACAACUGGAAAUAUAUUUCUACGGGUUUGCCAAUCAUUGCUCUGGGACCAUAAUAAUCAUGCAGAAGCCCGCUCCAGUACUUGUUUCCUGUGAAAAAUAGUAAAAACAGCAUGCAAUCGAUUAGUACGUCUAUAUAUUACACUGCUUUUCUUUUCUUUUCUUUUUCUCUGUUAAUUGUUGUUCGAUACCAUAGUCACGAAGCAGACUGGCUUCCUCAUCUGUGUUGUCAAACCACAUGGUGAUUUGAGUUCUAGCAUUCCACUCAAACUGAAAAUGUUUAGAACUGUAAAUCAAUACAAGUAUAUAUAGGAUAAGAUGGAUUUUCAAUUAUAUGCCAAUAGAAUUAAAUCAAACCUGUCUCUUCUGUUCUUCAUUUUGAGCUAGUUGUAUUGCACUAUCUAACCAGGGACCUAGAAGAAACCCAUCAUGGCAAGCCAACAACGCGUCCAAAUCUUCCACUAGGUCCAAAAAUCUUUGGCUGAGUAGAGUCACUCCAUGGAUAUCUUGUGAUUGGUAUGCCUCAAUGACCUUAUAGAACAGCCGAUUUGCAUAUUUUGCUAAAACUUGUCUGGUGAGAUCAACUAGGUCAUACCUGUGUAAAGAAUAAGUAGCAUGGAUCUAUAUUAAACCUUGGCAUACAAUAAGACAACACCAAGCUACUUAAAGAGGAGUGAGAAUUCUUAUUUAACCGACUUCUCUCACCUAUAAGUUCUAAUUUUUGAAAGUUCAUCUCCACUAGAUAUAAAUAGCUCCAAUGCAUAAAUUACUUCAGAUGUUGAAUACCAUAAGUGAGGUCGAUCAAAUGAAUCAGUUAUUUCCUUGAUAAUUGCUCUUGAGUUUGGCUUGGCAUAGGGACGAGAGUGUUCAUUAUGUACUGAAAGUAAGGAAGGGUCCACAUCCGGGAAUGCUACAAUAACAUCUCUGUUUUUGUCCUGUUCCAAUAAACCAAAAAUGUAAAAAUGAAACAUGAUCUUCCAAUUUAUGCAUGUGCAGUAGAAAUGGAACAUACGAUGUGCAGCUGAGGUUGUCACUUGUUUACAUAAGUCAUUUGUCAGAUUAAAGGAGAACAAAAGAUCGAGAUAAGCUGAUGUCGUGUGAUUAGUCCUUUUACAUUGUUGAGUAAGGAGAAACAAAAUAUACAUAAUCGCAUUAAAUAAAGGGCCUUAUAUUGUAGGAGUGGAAGAAAUUUCUAGCACCGGGUUAUAAGUAACAUCCAACUACUUACAUAGGCUCCAUCUGUGCAAUUGUAAAUAGUAUGAUACAAAACAUUCCAUCCCUCUUGUACCAAAGGAACUUGUCUACCAUAUCGUCUAGUUGAAUACAAAUCAACCCAUGCCUGAAAUAACAACCACCAUUAUGCAUUUCAGUCUGAAAACAACACCAAAUUAGUGAAAAUAGAAAUUAAAUAAAACAAAGUAUGGACUAAGGGAAGCAUGUUGGAAUUAUAUCUGAUGUCUAAAGUUACAGAUUAGAGGUAAAUAACUAAAUUCAUGUGGUAGAAAGUAUCCCCUAAACCAUAUGUGGCAAAAUACUGGACAUCCACAUUGUGAGGGGUUCCAUAGGUCACGAGUCACGACAGCUCCCUGGAGAUCCCACUCGCACGGGAACAUGGUAAAACCUUGAGUGAAAUAGUGCAACCAAUUGAUAUUAAGAUUCUAUCAUUGUUACCUUAACAUCAAUUUUGUUGUGCUGAAAUGCCAUUUCAGACAUCAGAUCAUAAACAAUGGGAUUUUGUUCGAUACCUUCCAUCGACAUUCCAACUCCAACCUACAUAAAAUCAAGCAGGUAUAAGAGUGUGUCAGAAAAAGAAUUCAUCACAAAAAUAGUUAUAGAAAAGCUUUUACCAAAAUUACUUGUGUAAAUAAUAAUAUUAUGCUUUUAGCAUUUAUAGUAGCUUUAAUGAGUUUUGUUUAGGUUUUAAUACACCUGACAGUCAUGAUAUUAAUAGAUAAUAUAGCAUAUGGAUUUCAUAUCUAUUUUUGUGA
Molecule: long non-coding RNA, 2092 nt
Organism: Lathyrus oleraceus (garden pea)
Lineage: Eukaryota; Viridiplantae; Streptophyta; Magnoliopsida; Fabales; Fabaceae
Exons: 2
Source: RefSeq, a predicted model, not a curated record